This 1496-nucleotide unclassified non-coding RNA is filed under the name Polistes fuscatus (common paper wasp). Its description in RNAcentral is "nucleosome assembly protein 1-like 1-B, transcript variant X1". Lineage: Eukaryota; Metazoa; Arthropoda; Insecta; Hymenoptera; Vespidae. The record is from RNAcentral.
CGCAUCGUCUACGUAUAACGAAAGCUCCGAUAAAACCAUCGAUACAACGGCCGGUUCGUUGUUCCUGGUUUUGUUCCUUCUUUUCUGAACGACAUCAUUUUUAAGAGUACUAUGACCACUGAUCCAGAACGUGCCGGAGAUACUACUGAUACGGAAUCUGUUGAAGAUGAAGAUGAACGCAAUACUUCAGAGCUAGAUUCGAAAAAACUUAAUACCACUGAAAAAAUAAAUACUCUGCAAGAUCUCGUUUGUGCACCUGGGAUAGAGCAAAUGCAGUCCCUACCAGCACCUAUUAAACGUAGAAUUAAGGCUCUCAAACAACUACAAUUGGUUACUACUAACAUUGAAGCCAAAUUUUAUGAAGAAGUACAUGCCUUAGAAUGUGCUUAUUACAAUAUGUGUGCACCACUAUACGAGAAAAGAAGUCUAAUAGUUUCUGGUUCAUACGAACCAACAGAUGAUCAGUGUGUCUGGGAAAGUGAUGAAGAUGAAGAGGCCUUGGCAAAUGAAUUAAAAACGAAAGCAGAUCUUGAUGGUCCUCAGGAAAAAAAAGAGGAAACUGAAAAUGAAGAUGUUAAAGGAAUACCUGCAUUUUGGGUAACGAUAUUUAAAAAUGUUGGUAUGUUGGCUGAUAUGGUACAAGAACAUGAUGAACCAAUUUUAUUACAUUUAAAUGACAUCAAAGUAAAAUUUUUAAAAUCUAAUCCAAUGGGUUUUAUCCUGGAAUUCUAUUUUGAACCGAAUGAAUAUUUUACCAAUUCUGUUCUUACUAAAGAAUAUAUUAUAAGAUGUGUACCAGAAAAAAAUGAUCCAUUCAGUUUUGAAGGACCUGAAAUAUAUAAAAGCAAGGGUUGCACAAUUGAUUGGAAAAAGGGAAAAAAUGUAACGGUCAAAACAAUAAAAAAGAAUCAAAAACAUAAAUCUAGAGGUUCUAUGCGUACAGUAACAAAAACUGUUCAAAAUGAUUCAUUCUUUAAUUUCUUUAGCCCACCAGUUGUGCCCGAUGAUGCAGAAGCGGAGUUAGAUGAUGAAACUCAAGCUUUGCUUACAAGUGAUUUUGAAAUUGGACAUUAUAUUAGAGAACGUAUAGUUCCUAGAGCUGUACUUUACUAUACAGGUGAAGGAUUAGAAGAUGAUGAAGAUUAUGAAGAUGAAGAAGAGGAAGAUGAUAAUGAUGAUAUUACAACUUCAGAAGAUGAAGAUGAGGAAUCUUCUCCGUUCAAUGCGCCUUCAGGUGGGAAAAAACAAGGCGAGGAUCCUAACGAAUGUAAACAACAGUAGAAUUUCGUAUGAAUUACGAUAAAAAAAAGAAAAAAAAAUCAUUCGAGCGUUACAAUCAAGCCUAGACACUCUUCAACAUACCAGCGAAAAAAUUAUGCGUAUCCUCCCUCUAAAUCAACGUUAAUAAUGAAUAGUAUAUAGCUACUUACUGCUAAGAUCUAACAAUGUCAUAAGUGUAACAGUUAUGCUCUCAAUAUGAUUAUUGUCAUUUUUAA